AUCGGACCCCGCGAAUCAGACAGGCACCCGGCAGCAGCAGCACCAAGACCUCCGCGAAGCGAUGGUACAGGUAAACCACGAUGGAGGUGAUAACCGGUGGUCGGCAAACAUGAAGAAAACGGACAGCAAGCCAGGAGACCAGACAACGAGGAUACAGGUAAGGGUAACUCGCCAGACCACCCAUGGUAAAGUGGGAGGGGAUUGGAUGCCCUUAUAAAGGGGACCCAAG
Pelobates cultripes (western spadefoot toad) is the source of this 229-nucleotide non-coding RNA. Lineage: Eukaryota; Metazoa; Chordata; Amphibia; Anura; Pelobatidae. The record is from the annotation of a GenBank genome assembly.